GAGUUUGUAUCAUGGCUCAGAGUGAACGCUGGCGGCAUGCCUAACACAUGCAAGUCGAACGGUAACAGGCCCGCAAGGGUGCUGACGAGUGGGCGGACGGGUGAGGAAUACAUCGGAAUUUGCCCAGUCGUGGGGGGAGUAACGUAGGGAAACUUACGCUAAUACCGCAUACGACACCGUGUUGAAUAGAUACGGGGUGAAAGCGGGGGAUCGCAAGACCUCGCGCGAGUGGAUGAGCCGAUG
This 243-nucleotide ribosomal RNA is filed under the name uncultured bacterium. RNAcentral describes it as "partial 16S ribosomal RNA". It matches the Rfam family "Bacterial small subunit ribosomal RNA", at positions 9 to 235 of the family's 1533-position model. The record is from RNAcentral.